Molecule: long non-coding RNA, 600 nt
Filed under: Citrus maxima (pomelo)
Lineage: Eukaryota; Viridiplantae; Streptophyta; Magnoliopsida; Sapindales; Rutaceae
Description: long non-coding RNA (CMAX_LNC004091)
Source: RNAcentral
UUAAGGUGAUGCAUCCAACUUGGCUAGCUUACGUCUUUUCUACCUUCUUUCUGCAAAAAAAUUGUACUAUGAUUCCCUGUAGUGACCUUUAAUUGCCCCCAUUAGUCACCCCCCACUUUUUUGAAUUGGUCCAGCCAUCCCACUAAGUGACAAACCAAUCUCUCUCUCUCUCUCUCUCUCUCUCUCUCUUAGGGUUUGUUUCUUUGAAAGUAAUAAUGGGCUGGAAAAGCAAAAAACAUCUCUAUCAUUUUCCCUCUCUUUCCAGGGUUAGAAAAUCCUAAUUAUGUUUCUGGGAAAAAUUAGGGUUUGAGAAAAUUAUGAUAAUCUUUUAAUUUCCUAAUAAUUCUCAAGGUGAUUCUGUGCAUGUGACUGUGGAUGGUCUCUCCCUUAAAGGUUUUUUUUUUUUCCUUUUACCCCCCUUCUCUAGGGUUCCUCAUUCUGCAUUUCUGCUGGUGGAUUUUUUUUUUUCAACUUAAAGAAGUAUUGAGUGGAAAUAAUUUUCAAUAAAAUUCUGAAUUUUGUGUUCUGUUUAACCAUCUCUGUCUCGUUAGUUCUCUUUGGUAUGGAAAUUAAUAUUUUUUUGUUUGUUCUGAGAAACGG